UUUGGACAAUGGGCGCAAGCCUGAUCCAGCCAUGCCGCGUGCAGGAUGAAGGCCCUCGGGUUGUAAACUGCUUUUGUACGGAACGAAAAGCCUCUUUCUAAUAAAGAGGGGUGAUGACGGUACCGUAAGAAUAAGCACCGGCUAACUACGUGCCAGCAGCCGCGGUAAUACGUAGGGUGCGAGCGUUAAUCGGAAUUACUGGGCGUAAAGCGUGCGCAGGCGGUCUUGCAAGACAGUGGUGAAAUCCCCGGGCUCAACCUGGGAACUGCCAUUGUGACUGCAAGGCUGGAGUACGGCAGAGGGGGAUGGAAUUCCGCGUGUAGCAGUGAAAUGCGUAGAUAUGCGGAGGAACACCGAUGGCGAAGGCAGUCCCCUGGGCCGCAACUGACGCUGAGGAGCGAAAGCAUGGGGAGCGAACAGG
Molecule: ribosomal RNA, 421 nt
Filed under: uncultured bacterium
Lineage: Bacteria
Description: bacterial SSU rRNA
Rfam family: Bacterial small subunit ribosomal RNA
Source: RNAcentral